Molecule: non-coding RNA, 29 nt
Filed under: Rattus norvegicus (Norway rat)
Lineage: Eukaryota; Metazoa; Chordata; Mammalia; Rodentia; Muridae
Source: RNAcentral
UGCUUUUUAAAGGAACAGUAGCACAGUGC